This 253-nucleotide long non-coding RNA is filed under the name Dipodomys ordii (Ord's kangaroo rat). Its description in RNAcentral is "Prostate androgen-regulated transcript 1 conserved region 2 (ENSDORG00000024583.1)". It matches the Rfam family "Prostate androgen-regulated transcript 1 conserved region 2". Lineage: Eukaryota; Metazoa; Chordata; Mammalia; Rodentia; Heteromyidae. The record is from RNAcentral.
CCGACCGCAGGGCUAUAAUCUAUGAGACUGAGCGCAGAUCCAGCCAAUCAGUCAGCUUCUCAUAACUAGUCGAACUGGCUCUGGAAAGCUAAAGGGUUCUCUCAGUUGCACUGGAGCAAGGCAGAUGAGAUAUUCCACAAAUAAUCUGCUUAUCUACGCUCACUUUGCCUCGUAAGGCCAGAGAAAAAUCACAGUUUCAUUGUCUGAAAGAAGAAAGACAGAUGAUCUGGCAAAAAAAAAAAAAAAAGACUUA